RNAcentral lists this ribosomal RNA (497 nucleotides) under uncultured bacterium. RNAcentral's name for it is "partial 16S ribosomal RNA". It matches the Rfam family "Bacterial small subunit ribosomal RNA", at positions 28 to 507 of the family's 1533-position model. The record is from RNAcentral.
GAUGAACGCUGGCGGCGUGCCUAAUACAUGCAAGUCGAGCGAACGGACGAGAAGCUUGCUUCUCUGAUGUUAGCGGCGGACGGGUGAGUAACACGUGGAUAACCUACCUAUAAGACUGGGAUAACUUCGGGAAACCGGAGCUAAGACCGGAUGAUAUUUUGAACCGCAUGGUUCAAAAGUGAAAGACGGUCUUGCUGUCACUUAUAGAUGGAUCCGCGCUGCAUUAGCUAGUUGGUAAGGUAACGGCUUACCAAGGCAACGAUGCAUAGCCGACCUGCGAGGCUGAUCAGCCACACUGUGACUCAGACACCGACCAGACUCCUACGAGUGGCGCCAGUAGGGAAUCCUGCACCAUGGGCGUAAGCCUCACGGCCCAACGCCACGUGUGUGCUCAAGGUUUUCCGCUCGUAAAUCUCUGUUAUUAGGGAAGAACACAUGUGUAAGUAACUGUGUACAUCUUGACAGUACCUAAUCAGAACGCCACUGCUUACUACGUG